UCGAGGAUCUUCCGCAAUGGGCGAAAGCCUGAUCCAGCAAUGCCGCGUGAGUGAUGAAGGCCUUAGGGUUGUAAAGCUCUUUUACCAGGGAUGAUAAUGACCGUACCUGGAGAAUAAGCUCCGGCUAACUCCGUGCCAGCAGCCGCGGUAAUACGGAGGGAGCUAGCGUUGUUCGGAAUUACUGGGCGUAAAGCGCACGUAGGCGGUUAUUCAAGUCAGAGGUGAAAGCCCGGGGCUCAACCCCGGAACUGCCUUUGAAACUAGGUGACUAGAAUCUUGGAGAGGUCAGUGGAAUUCCGAGUGUAGAGGUGAAAUUCGUAGAUAUUCGGAAGAACACCAGUGGCGAAGGCGACUGACUGGACAAGUAUUGACGCUGAGGUGCGAAAGCGUGGGGAGCAAACAGG
This 404-nucleotide ribosomal RNA is filed under the name uncultured bacterium. RNAcentral's name for it is "bacterial SSU rRNA". It matches the Rfam family "Bacterial small subunit ribosomal RNA", at positions 355 to 776 of the family's 1533-position model. The record is from RNAcentral.